This is a long non-coding RNA of Bactrocera dorsalis (oriental fruit fly), 1969 nucleotides long. RefSeq lists it as uncharacterized. The record is from RefSeq and is a predicted model, not a curated record. Lineage: Eukaryota; Metazoa; Arthropoda; Insecta; Diptera; Tephritidae. The transcript is spliced from 3 exons.
AUAUUGAGAGUAUAAUGAUUUUUCCAGUGAAAUAAGCAUAUCAUUACCUAAAGGAUAACUUAACAGUGGACUGAUAUAGCUCAAGACUUUUGUUAUUUUUUUGCAUGUGAAGAUACCUUGGAGAUAGGAAUUAAAAAAUUCAUCUCGCAUCGAUGAACUAAAAUCUUUGUAUGGCUAUGAAGCACCAUCCUAUAGCACUGUGAAAAACUGUUACAACGACCAAAAACAGCCGUUGUGCCAGAAAACAUCGACGCCGUACGUGAACUGAUAAUGCAAGACCGUCAUGUAACAUACCUUCAGAUAGAGGUAUGCCUAUGCAUUUCUCCCACCAGCAUACAUUCGAUAUUGCAUGAACACCUGGCCGUAAAAAAGGUUUGUUCUCGUUGGAUCUCGCACAAUUUACAAUCGCUCAAAGAAAGGCUCGUGUGGAUUGGUGUAAAGAAAUGCUGAAAAAAUACGAUCGCGGUGCUUCAAAAGACGUUUAUAAGCCCGAAACAAAACAGCAAUCGACCGUGUGGGUCUUCCAAGACGAGCCAAAUCCAACGAAAGUUGUUCGUGGAAGAAGCACUUCGAAGCAAAUGGUCGCCUGUUUCUUCGGCAAAACUGGUCAUGUGGCGACUGUUCCGCUUGAGUAACGUAGGACGGUCACUUCUGAGUGGUACACCACCAUUUGUUUGCCUGAAGUCUUCGGAGAAAUUCGAAAAACGAACAAGAGAAGACGAAUCAUUGUGCACCAUGACAAUGCGAGCUCUCACACAUCGGCUCAAACCAGCGCCUUUUUGACCGGCCAAAACGUCGAAUUGAUGGGUCAUCCGCCGUACAGCCCUGACUUGGCACCCAAUGACUUCUUUUUAUUCCCACACAUCAAGAAAAUAAUGCGUGGUCAACGAUUUUCGUCGCCAGAAGAUGCUGUUGAAGCAUUCAAAAACCAUGUUUUGGAGGUGUUUCAAUCGGAGUGGAAAAAGUGGAAAAUUGGUUUAGGCGCAUGCAAAAGUGUAUAAAUCUUGAUGGAGAAUAUUUUGAUAAACAAUAAAACCAUUUUCGUUGAUAAAUAUUCCUAUUUUCAUUAGCCCUCGUAUAACAAGAUUGAUAUACAGAAAGAAAAACAGUAUUAAAGCAAAACAUGCAUAUUUAUUUAGUAUAACAUUAUUUUUAAAAUCUAUGAAAUAGUUUGAAAUCAUUUUUCUGUGACCCAAAUUUGCCGUCGUUGCCAUUACAAAAUACAUUCAUUUACAGCCCUAUUCUAAGAAACCCUCUCAACUGAUUUGUGCGGUUUAUUUUGUGAAGUUAUUCUUGCUCAAAUCUCACAAGAAGAAAGCACCACAUGUGGUGAAAAGCACUUUCCUGUGAACCAAUUAUUUUACAAAAAUAAGGAAAUGGACAACCAAGAAAAUUUAGUAGCAGCUGCAGCAUUACAACAUAAAUAUCUUUUUAUCCGCGCAUGUACUAAAUACAUACAUGCAUAUUUACAAAUAAAAUUUUGUCUGAAUUAUAUGAACAUAAAUAUGUUAAUGUCUUUAUAUUCAUACUUAGAAGGAAGUAAAAUGUACAAACACCGUAAGUUACAUAUUUUCAGUAUAGACAAAUACUUAUACAUAUAUACAAUAUAAUAGAUAACGCCUUUGGAAGAAUAUUUUCUCCAUUUUAAUUCAAUAAAAGAAUUGCAAAUUUCUUUAAAAAUAUUAAAAUUAUUAGAACAAACAAACACCUCACAAAUUGGAGAGGAAAUUGUGACCAUUUGAACUUUUGAAGUCUCGUCAGCAUACAAGUAAUAAAAAACUCACAAUAGUGAGGGUGAUGAUUUUUGUUUGUUCAUGAGAAUAGGGCUGUUAAUACCGAUACUGACAGUGAGUAGAAGCCAGAUACAGUAGGUAAUAUUUUCCUUUCAAAAUUGAGCUUGAAAAGAAAAAAAAUGCUUGAAAUUAAAAAUUAUGUACAUAGUUCCACUUAACUACUUGACUUAUGCUGC